CCAUUUUGUCCCCAACAGCCGGCUCUAGGGCGGCCGGUGCCUGUGGCCACCGUCGGAGAGGCGACUGUCAGUGACUUAACGGCCCCGAGCGGCCUCACCUGGGAGCCACACCCGCCCUCUACCCCUGGUUUUCAUUUAAGCGCUAGCCGUAAACCACCAGCUCCCCCCUGAGCCGUGAGGUGGAAGCGGGGGGUCUCUAGUUCAGCUAUGUACUGCCCGCAGCACCGUUUCUUUAAGCCCUCGCCUGCGGGCUGAUUUUUUUCUUUGCCCUCGGAUCUCCCUCCUGGCUGUGGAUCCAUCUAGGGAGGAGACCUCUUUCCCCGGCAGGAAGCUGUGGAGAAGCUGUUGGGCCUUUCUGCCCCCUCAGGCCGGGCGCACCGUCAGCGCGGCGGGGCCAGCCACCCAUCUCACUGUGCCCCUCCAGAGUAUCAGUGAGCUGAGUGCUGCUGCUUCCUGCUUCCCAGACAUGUUCAUCAUGUGAAAGGGAGAGAGCCCCUAAGUGAAGAAGGCAGCCAGGAAUGGCACCUGUAUUCCAUCUGAAUGGAGUGAUUAAAGCCUGGAAAGCCUCAGGAAAUACAGAAAGACAACAGGCCUCAGGAUGCAAUUGGAAAAGACAACAUCACUCUUGGAUCUAGUUGCAAUAAGUGUCUGCUUUUAAAGCACCUGUAGUUGAAGGCCAUGCUUUGCUCUAAGGGAGUUCUUAAUUUGUUAUCACAAAAGUUGAAAUAUGGUAUGCUAGCUGUAAAAGGUGUCUGGGAAUCAAGAAAUGCCGGGUUGGAGUUUCAGUUCUGCCAGUCUCAUUCUGUGUCAGUAGGCAGAUUGUUGAUGACUCUAGAGAAAAGCAGUUUCUAUUGAGUUUGACUGAAUUUAUGGAAGAACACGUAAAUAUGCAGCCACCACCGACCUCUGCCUCAUUUAUUGUAAAUUAUGCUUGCCUCCUGCAAUGUUGCAGCCCUUGCAUAAGUAAUUUUCUCCAUCUGUUUUGAGAUCCUUUGAAUGUAUAAUUAUAUUAUUCAGACUACUGAUGAGAUAUUGCAGGCCUCCACAAUUCCAUAAACAGAAGCAUUUUAUAUCAAAUUUAAAAGGGUAAAAAUGGAAUUGAAAUGAAAUAAUUAAAUUCUAGGAUUUUAGGACGUUUUCUUGUUAAACAGUGUAACUUCUCUAUCACAAGCUAAAGCAAAACCAAAUCAGUGAAAGCUUUGCCUGACAUCCUUUGGCAGGCUGAAAGUUAACUCAUUUUCAGUUGGAUUUAAAUGUGAAAUUGGAUUACCAGAGCUAAAAAUAUUUCUGCAAUACUGUACUGUCAAAAAGCAAUAAACACUUAUGCCAGAUAGUCUAAGGAAGAAUGGACAGCAAGCUCUGAGAAUAUUAUAACUGAUUUUUUGCUGUAACCAUGGAAAUGUAGCUACAAACACUUGUGUUUAGACUGUACAGUCCUCAUGAUAUACAGCUUGUCAGUUGUUUUUACAAGACAAACCCUUUCGACUCCAUGGGUGCAGAACAGUUCCUAACAAGGAGAAAGUGGAAGGUGACUGUUACAAAUGGGAUGUGUCCAGUGCCUCAUCACUUCUCAAAAUAACAAGGCAAAGCCAUUAUGGAGACCUCAUUCUAAUUUAAACAUCCAUGUGUUUAUUCUAGCAUUAAUGUGUUUCUUGGGUGACUUUGUUUAGAUUUUGUGCCUCCUAACCCAUAUGACUGUAUUCCCAAAGUAUGUGGAUAGUCAUGUGAUUUGGUUCCCUCACUCGCUCUGCUAUGAGGAAAGGACUGGGCAAUCUGUAAUCCAUGUUUAAAUUAAGAUUGUUAUUUUAAGCAACCUUCUCCUACCCCAUCUUCAGAUGCCUGAGGGAUUCCCUUUGGCAUUCCAAUAAAUAGGAUAACAGCAGGC
Molecule: non-coding RNA, 1885 nt
Organism: Anas platyrhynchos (mallard)
Lineage: Eukaryota; Metazoa; Chordata; Aves; Anseriformes; Anatidae
Source: RefSeq, a predicted model, not a curated record